CCAGACUCCUACGGGAGGCAGCAGUGGGGGAUAUUGCACAAUGGGGGGAACCCUGAUGCAGCGACGCCGCGUGGGUGAAGAAGCGCCUCGGCGCGUAAAGCCCUGUCAGCAGGGAAGAAAAUGACGGUACCUGAAGAAGAAGCCCCGGCUAACUACGUGCCAGCAGCCGCGGUAAUACGUAGGGGGCAAGCGUUAUCCGGAUUUACUGGGUGUAAAGGGAGCGUAGACGGCAUGGCAAGUCUGAUGUGAAAACCCGGGGCUCAACCCCGGGACUGCAUUGGAAACUGUCAGGCUAGGGUGUCGGAGAGGCAAGUGGAAUUCCUAGUGUAGCGGUGAAAUGCGUAGAUAUUAGGAGGAACACCAGUGGCGAAGGCGGCUUGCUGGACGAUGACUGACGUUGAGGCUCGAAAGCGUGGGGAGCAAACAGGAUUAGAUACCCCAGUAAU
Molecule: ribosomal RNA, 446 nt
Filed under: uncultured bacterium
Lineage: Bacteria
Description: partial 16S ribosomal RNA
Rfam family: Bacterial small subunit ribosomal RNA
Source: RNAcentral